RNAcentral lists this microRNA precursor (70 nucleotides) under Marmota monax (woodchuck). The record is from RNAcentral. Lineage: Eukaryota; Metazoa; Chordata; Mammalia; Rodentia; Sciuridae.
UGUAUAUGUGUAUGUGUGUGUGUGUGUGUGUGUGUACACACACACACACACACAUAUACACAUAUACAUA